AGGAACUACAUCCCUAUGGGGAGACUCAUAUCAGAUGUAUUGAUUGAAGUGGCCUAAUGGAUCACCUGAUUCAGCUCAGACUCAUGGAAGAUGUCACCAUUGACACUGGAAGACCGCUGAAUGCUCGGAACCUGAAGAGAAUGGGAAUCAUUAAUCAAGUCAGAGCCAAACCAACACUUGAUACCUCCUGGGAAGCAUUCAGGGAUCAGAGGGAGAUUCCCAACAGACUCU
RNAcentral lists this long non-coding RNA (231 nucleotides) under Lathyrus oleraceus (garden pea). RNAcentral describes it as "Pisum sativum (pea) long non-coding RNA (PSAT_LNC003604)". The record is from RNAcentral. Lineage: Eukaryota; Viridiplantae; Streptophyta; Magnoliopsida; Fabales; Fabaceae.